AUUGAACGCUAGCGGGAUGCCUUACACAUGCAAGUCGACCGGAGUGGCGAACGGGUGAGUAAUGUAUCGGAACGUGCCCUGUAGCGGGGGAUAACUACGCGAAAGCGAAGCUAAUACCGCACACUAUUGGAGCGGCCGAUACCUGAUUAGCUAGUUGGUGGGGUAACGGCUUACCAAGGCGACGAUCCGUAGCUGGUUUGAGUGGACGACCAGCCACACUGGGACUGAGACACGGCCCAGACUCCGACGGGAGGCAGCAGUGGGGAAUAUUGGACAAUGGGCGAAAGCCUGAUGCAGCCAUGCCGCGUGUACGAAGAAGGCCUUCGGGUUGUAAAGUACUUUUAGCAGGAAGGCGGUACCUGCAGAAGAAGCACCGGCUAACUACGUGCCAGCAGCCGCGGUAAUAC
Molecule: ribosomal RNA, 407 nt
Filed under: uncultured bacterium
Lineage: Bacteria
Description: partial 16S ribosomal RNA
Rfam family: Bacterial small subunit ribosomal RNA
Source: RNAcentral